This 369-nucleotide long non-coding RNA is filed under the name Brassica napus (rape). RNAcentral describes it as "long non-coding RNA (BNAP_LNC022646)". The record is from RNAcentral. Lineage: Eukaryota; Viridiplantae; Streptophyta; Magnoliopsida; Brassicales; Brassicaceae.
AGUUGAUGUUUCGGGGUUUAGAGCUUAGAAUUGAUGUUUCAUGGUUUAGGGUUUAAAGUUGAUGUUUUAAGUUUAGAUUUAGGGUUUAGGGUUUAAGUUUAGGGUUUAGAGUUGAUGUUUUAGGGUUUAGAUCUGAAGUUUUAGGGUUUAGAGUUGAUGUUUCGGGGUUUAGAGCUUAGAAUUGAUGUUUCAUGGUUUAGGGUUUAAAGUUGAUGUUUUAAGUUUAGAUUAGUUAACCUUAUUUUUUUUUUGUCAAAAGUAAUCAAAAGGUUAUAAAUGUCUUUUAUUCUUCGUUAAAGAUGAAGAUAAAAGUGAUUAGUGUAAAUAUAAAAAGUGGUAUUUUGAAAAUGGUAUUUUUUGGCAAUUUUC